UACGUAGGGUGCAAGCGUUGUCCGGAAUUAUUGGGCGUAAAGAGCUCGUAGGCGGUUUGUCGCGUCUGCUGGGAAAACUCGGGGCUUAACCCCGGGCCUGCAGUGGGUACGGGCAGACUAGAGUGCGGUAGGGGAGACUGGAAUUCCCGGUGUAGCGGUGAAAUGCGCAGAUAUCGGGAGGAACACCAGUGGCGAAGGCGGCGCUCUGGGCCGGAACUGACGCUGAGGAGCGAAAGCGUGGGUAGCAAACAGG
This 253-nucleotide ribosomal RNA is filed under the name uncultured bacterium. RNAcentral's name for it is "partial 16S ribosomal RNA". It matches the Rfam family "Bacterial small subunit ribosomal RNA", at positions 524 to 776 of the family's 1533-position model. The record is from RNAcentral.